Long non-coding RNA from Oryzias melastigma (Indian medaka), 590 nucleotides. RefSeq lists it as uncharacterized. The transcript is spliced from 3 exons. Lineage: Eukaryota; Metazoa; Chordata; Actinopteri; Beloniformes; Adrianichthyidae. The record is from RefSeq and is a predicted model, not a curated record.
UUACAAGAAAUCUGGAGAGGAGUCACGGUUUACUUAAUGCCUAAUAGGCCAUAAAUAAUCAAGUUUCCAGGCAGAAUGCGAAUUUUUAGUCUGAUUGAACUGCGUGAUGUCAAGCUGCCUGUCGCGUGGCAUUAAAAAUGUAAUAUCCUCUUCUGAACACGAGGGGGAGACAUUGACCCAUGUCGUCAUCAGAGAGCGACAGGGGCUACACCGGAAAGCUAUAAAAAGGAGAAGCUAACACGCCGCUGGCCCUUUUCUAAACGUGCUUCAUGUCUAACUAAGUAUGGUGUGGGCUCCAAAAUUAUUUUGCCAAACGUGUGUUAACGUUUUCUAAAGUUUGCUGCCCAUAUAGUUUUAGAUGGCUGAGAGAUGGAAGGUUCUACAAGGGUUGGAUGACUAAGUAUUAGUCAUUACUAAGAAAUACAGGUUGUUGGUGAGACUCCUCUGUGACGUGUGGAUUUCUAAGGAUUGGUAUGCCUUUUCAUUGUCCCUGGUGCUAAUUUGUAAAAUUUGUCAACUAGAUGUUUACUUUUGUGCUGAUUUCGCCUGUAAUGUCUCCUUUGACUGUCAAAAUAAACUUUAUUUUCUAA